This 253-nucleotide ribosomal RNA is filed under the name uncultured bacterium. RNAcentral's name for it is "partial 16S ribosomal RNA". It matches the Rfam family "Bacterial small subunit ribosomal RNA", at positions 524 to 776 of the family's 1533-position model. The record is from RNAcentral.
UACGGAGGGGGCAAGCGUUAUCCGGAUUCACUGGGUUUAAAGGGUGCGUAGGUGGGCAAGUAAGUCAGUGGUGAAAUCUCCGGGCUUAACCCGGAAACUGCCAUUGAUACUAUUUGUCUUGAAUACUGUGGAGGUCAGCGGAAUAUGUCAUGUAGCGGUGAAAUGCUUAGAUAUGACAUAGAACACCAAUUGCGAAGGCAGCUGGCUACACAAAUAUUGACACUGAGGCACGAAAGCGUGGGGAUCAAACAGG